GACACACACCUAGCUCAAGCUAGUAAAACUAGUUUUCUGGGUUGAACUCUAAAUGACUCAACUAAGCACAAAAUUGAUUGAAAAACACUUUGAACAUUAUAAAUACACACUUGGACACUUAAAUGCUUAUUUAUAUCAAUAUGGACACGUUAAGCACGCAAAUUUCUCUCAAAACAAGGAAUAAGCUAGAAUAAUGAUACAAAAGUGUAUAAAACCACCU
This 220-nucleotide long non-coding RNA is filed under the name Capsicum annuum. RNAcentral describes it as "long non-coding RNA (CANN_LNC005185)". Lineage: Eukaryota; Viridiplantae; Streptophyta; Magnoliopsida; Solanales; Solanaceae. The record is from RNAcentral.